CUUGAUGAACGCUGGCGGCGUGCCUAAUACAUGCAAGUCGAACGAGUUCUGAUUAUUGAAAGGUGCUUGCAUCUUGAUUUAAUUUUGAACGAGUGGCGGACGGGUGAGUAACACGUGGGUAACCUGCCCUUAAGUGGGGGAUAACAUUUGGAAACAGAUGCUAAUACCGCAUAAAUCCAAGAACCGCAUGGUUCUUGGCUGAAAGAUGGCGUAAGCUAUCGCUUUUGGAUGGACCCGCGGCGUAUUAGCUAGUUGGUGAGGUAACGGCUCACCAAGGCAAUGAUACGUAGCCGAACUGAGAGGUCGAUCGGCCACAUUGGGACUGAGACACGGCCCAAACUCCUACGGGAGGCAGCAGUAGGGAAUCUUCCACAAUGGACGCAAGUCUGAUGGAGCAACGCCGCGUGAGUGAAGAAGGCUUUCGGGUCGUAAAACUCUGUUGUUGGAGAAGAAUGGUCGGCAGAGUAACUGUUGUCGGCGUGACGGUAUCCAACCAGAAAGCCUCGGCUAACUACGUGCCAGCAGCCGCGGUAAUACGUAGGUGGCAAGCGUUAUCCGGAUUUAUUGGGCGUAAAGCGAGCGCAGGCGGUUUUUUAAGUCUGAUGUGAAAGCCCUCGGCUUAACCGAGGAAGUGCAUCGGAAACUGGGAAACUUGAGUGCAGAAGAGGACAGUGGAACUCCAUGUGUAGCGGUGAAAUGCGUAGAUAUAUGGAAGAACACCAGUGGCGAAGGCGGCUGUCUGGUCUGUAACUGACGCUGAGGCUCGAAAGCAUGGGUAGCGAACAGGAUUAGAUACCCUGGUAGUCCAUGCCGUAAACGAUGAAUGCUAGGUGUUGGAGGGUUUCCGCCCUUCAGUGCCGCAGCUAACGCAUUAAGCAUUCCGCCUGGGGAGUACGACCGCAAGGUUGAAACUCAAAGGAAUUGACGGGGGCCCGCACAAGCGGUGGAGCAUGUGGUUUAAUUCGAAGCAACGCGAAGAACCUUACCAGGUCUUGACAUCUUUUGAUCACCUGAGAGAUCAGGUUUCCCCUUCGGGGGCAAAAUGACAGGUGGUGCAUGGUUGUCGUCAGCUCGUGUCGUGAGAUGUUGGGUUAAGUCCCGCAACGAGCGCAACCCUUAUGACUAGUUGCCAGCAUUUAGUUGGGCACUCUAGUAAGACUGCCGGUGACAAACCGGAGGAAGGUGGGGAUGACGUCAAAUCAUCAUGCCCCUUAUGACCUGGGCUACACACGUGCUACAAUGGAUGGUACAACGAGUUGCGAGACCGCGAGGUCAAGCUAAUCUCUUAAAGCCAUUCUCAGUUCGGACUGUAGGCUGCAACUCGCCUACACGAAGUCGGAAUCGCUAGUAAUCGCGGAUCAGCACGCCGCGGUGAAUACGUUCCCGGGCCUUGUACACACCGCCCGUCACACCAUGAGAGUUUGUAACACCCGAAGCCGGUGGCGUAACCCUUUUAGGGAGCGAGCCGUCUAAGGUGGGACAAAUGAU
Molecule: ribosomal RNA, 1488 nt
Filed under: uncultured organism
Description: SSU rRNA
Rfam family: Bacterial small subunit ribosomal RNA
Source: RNAcentral